Small nucleolar RNA from Cimex lectularius (bed bug), 214 nucleotides. RefSeq annotates it as small nucleolar RNA U3. The transcript has a single exon. NCBI's taxonomy places the organism in Eukaryota, Metazoa, Arthropoda, Insecta, Hemiptera, Cimicidae. The record is from RefSeq and is a predicted model, not a curated record.
AAGAUCAUACUUCUACAGGAUCAUUUCUGUAGUAAAUCUUCACAAAAUCCGGCUACAACAGUCGAAUACCUUAAACCACGAUGAGGAAGCGUGGCGUUCUCCCCUGAGCGUGAGGCAGUUUCGGUAGUUCAGUCAUUUUGAACUACCAAAACAUCGAUGACCGUCAGCUUUCCCUUACCAGGGAAGGCGUGGGGGUUAACGCUUUCUGAGUGGU